ACCUAAUAGAUACCCGGGUAGUCCACGCCCUAAACGAUGCGAACUGGAUGUUGGGUACAUUACGGUACUCAGUGUCGAAAGCUAAACGCGUUAAGUUCGCCGCCUGGGGAGUACGGUCGCAAGACUGAAACUCAAAGGAAUUGACGGGGCCGGCACAAGCGGUGGAGUAUGUGGUUUAAGUUACGAUGCAACGACGAAGAACCUUACCUGGCCUUGACAUCUGUCGAAUCCUGCAGAGAUGCGGGAGGUGCCGCAAGGAACGACAAGACAGGUGCUGCAUGGCUGUCGUCAGCUCGUGUCGUGAGAUGUUGGGUUAAGUCCCGCAACGAGCGCAACCCUUGUCCCUACGUUGCCAGCACAUCAUGGUGGGAACUCUA
This 377-nucleotide ribosomal RNA is filed under the name uncultured bacterium. RNAcentral describes it as "bacterial SSU rRNA". It matches the Rfam family "Bacterial small subunit ribosomal RNA", at positions 772 to 1142 of the family's 1533-position model. The record is from RNAcentral.